UUUCCGUAGGUGAACCUGCGGAAGGAUCAUUAGCGAGUUAGGGUCUUCCAGGCCCGACCUCCCAACCCUAUGUUUAUUGAACCUCUGUUGCUUCGGCGGACCCGUCUCACGACCGCCGGAGGACCGCCGCGAGGCGUCCUCUGGCCAGCGUCCGCCGAUGGCCAACCACUUAACUCUGAAUGAAUCGUGUCAUUAUGUCUAAGUCUAUGAUUAAAUUAAAGCAAAACUUUCAACAACGGAUCUCUUGGUUCUG
This 253-nucleotide unclassified non-coding RNA is filed under the name plant metagenome. Its description in RNAcentral is "partial contains small subunit ribosomal RNA, internal transcribed spacer 1, and 5.8S ribosomal RNA". The record is from RNAcentral.